This 62-nucleotide transfer RNA is filed under the name Ocyptamus sativus. RNAcentral's name for it is "tRNA-Thr". The record is from RNAcentral. Lineage: Eukaryota; Metazoa; Arthropoda; Insecta; Diptera; Syrphidae.
AUUAGUUUUUAUAGUUGAAAUAGUCUUGUAAAUCAAAAAUAAGAAUAUUUUCUUUUAAAACU